ACCACCGGCGGUAGCAUGUUGAAUGCACUAGUUCCCCACGAAAUUAAACAACUGAAGAUAGACAACGUUGCGCGUGGUUAAUACCUGUAUGGACCAUCUAUAGGGAAUCCACAUGCUGCUGGGU
Molecule: ribosomal RNA, 124 nt
Filed under: Diaphorina citri (Asian citrus psyllid)
Lineage: Eukaryota; Metazoa; Arthropoda; Insecta; Hemiptera; Psyllidae
Source: RNAcentral